UAACGUGUGGGCAACCUGCCUCAUACAGAGGGAUAAUCAUGUGAAAACGUGACUAAUACCGCAUGUCAUUUGUUGAAGGCAUCUUCGACAAAGAAAAGGAGCGAUCCGGUAUGAGAUGGGCCCGCAUCUGAUUAGCUAGUUGGUGAGAUAACAGCCCACCAAGGCGACGAUCAGUAGCCGACCUGAGAGGGUGAUCGGCCACAUUGGGACUGAGACACGGCCCAAACUCCUACGGGAGGCAGCAGUGGGGAAUAUUGCACAAUGGGGGAAACCCUGAUGCAGCAACGCCGCGUGAAGGAAGACGGUUUUCGGAUUGUAAACUUCUAUCAAUAGGGACGAAGAAAGUGACGGUACCUAAAUAAGAAGCCCCGGCUAACUACGUGCCAGCAGCCGCGGUAAUACGUAGGGGGCAAGCGUUAUCCGGAAUUACUGGGUGUAAAGGGUGAGUAGGCGGCAUGACAAGUAAGAUGUGAAAGCCCGUGGCUUAACCACGGGAUUGCAUUUUAAACUGUUGAGCUAGAGUACAGGAGAGGAAAGCGGAAUUCCCAGUGUAGCGGUGAAAUGCGUAGAUAUUGGGAAGAACACCAGUGGCGAAGGCGGCUUUCUGGACUGAAACUGACGCUGAGGCACGAAAGCGUGGGGAGCAAACAGGAUUAGAUACCCUGGUAGUCCACGCCGUAAACGAUGAGUGCUAGGUGU
Molecule: ribosomal RNA, 699 nt
Filed under: uncultured bacterium
Lineage: Bacteria
Description: bacterial SSU rRNA
Rfam family: Bacterial small subunit ribosomal RNA
Source: RNAcentral